Cyprinus carpio (common carp) is the source of this 293-nucleotide long non-coding RNA. RefSeq lists it as uncharacterized. The record is from RefSeq and is a predicted model, not a curated record. NCBI's taxonomy places the organism in Eukaryota, Metazoa, Chordata, Actinopteri, Cypriniformes, Cyprinidae. The transcript is spliced from 3 exons.
AUACUCCUGUUUAUUUAUUUAAACAAUAUUCAGGCUUACAAAACCGUUUGCAGUCCUUGACAGGAAAAUGCAUGCGAUCAUCCAAAUCAAGCUCUACUAAUGAAGAACACCAUGAAGAACAUGGUUCUUCAAGUCAAACUUCUUAUAUCCAGCGUGCAUUCAAAACUCCGGAUCUAAAUGAAUCUACGACGUCUACGGUAAACUAUGGUAAGACACAGAAUGUGUUUUUAAUUAUAAAAUUUAGAACAGUAUAAUAACUAAAGAAUAACAAAAUAUCUGCUUGAUAUGUUUCA